GAUUGGCUUCACUUUCGCUUUCCACUUUCCAGCUUAUGAAUCACUUUCCACUCGGAGAUAAGUAUUGAAAGAGUAGAGACCCCUCUUUUUAUCUCUUCAAUAAUUUAUCUUUCAGGACACUCCAAAGCAAAAUCAACAUCAAAGAUAGAUUUUCUCUAAUCCAGCACAGAAACGUUGAAUCCAUAUAUUUUCCAGGGAACAAAUUCUAUCAUCAUUACUUUAUAGCCGAAAGCAUGAGUCCCACAUUAGAUAGAGUUUUUCGGUCAUGAUGUUCAAGUGAAUCUUUUCAACAAGAGAGAGAGAGAGAGAGAGAGAGAGAGAGAGUAGACUAGUAUGGCAUUGGGAGAGAUCUUUCUUGCGGCAUUCCUUCAGUUGCUGCUGGACAGGUUAACGCCUCGGGAGGUCCUGGGCUACUUUGGAAGCUUGGGAGGAGUUGGCAAAAAGCUGCAGAAAUUGAGGGAAACACUGUCCGCAGUUGCGGCGGUGCUUUCCGAUGCGGAGGAGAAGCAGUUGACGAACAAGGCAGUGGAGCUGUGGCUGAAUGACCUCAGACACUUGGCUUACGAUAUCGACGAUCUACUCAACACCUUUCCUAAUGAGAUGUUAGAAGGCGAGCAGCUCAAGCUUCACCAAACUGGCACAAGCAAGGUACGAAGCUUCUUUACCAAAGGUCCUCACAAAGUCAGGUUCAUUUUCAAUAUGAACUCCCAAAUAGAGGAGAUUUCUAAUCGCUUGCAAAAGAUAUUUGACCUGAAAAAGAAUCUUGGUUUGAAAGUGACUGGGCUUAACUCUACUUCAACAUCCUCAUGGCAAAGGCCACCAGGUUCGUAUGUGUUGGAUGGACCUGUGGUUGGGAGAGAUGAAGACGCAAGAAAAAUUGUUAAAUUGUUGUCCAGAGAUGUUGAUCCUUCUUCUACCACCAAUUAUCAAGUUGUUGCCAUUGUUGGUAUGGGAGGAGUCGGCAAGACAACGAUUGCGGGACAAGUCUUCAAUGAUGUAGCUGCAAAGGAACAGUUUGAUCUCAAGGUCUGGGUUUCAGUGUCCGAUGACUUCAAUCUUGAAACGGUGACGAGAACUAUUUUUAAGAAAGUCACAUCUGGGCCAUGUGAUAUUGAUGAUUUCAGUCAACUUCAAGAUGAUCUGAGCAAGGCGCUGGAUGGUAAAAGGUUUUUGAUUGUUUUAGAUGAUGUCUGGAGCACGUGUGGUUAUGAUUCAUGGACAAAACUGCAAGCUCCCCUCCGUGGCGGAGCCAAGGGAAGUAAGGUAAUGGUGACAACACGUGAUGAAAAAGUUGCAGUAUUAAUGGGAGCUCGAGCCGCUGGAGUUUAUUAUUUAAAGAGACUAUCAGAUGAAUGUUGUCUACAAGUAUUUGAGCAGCAUGUUAGCAAUGACAGGCCACCAAAUUUUGACUUGCUUAAGAAGAAAAUUGUUACGAACUGCAAUGGAUUGCCAUUGGCUGCAAAAACUCUUGGUGGUGUUUUACGUUGUAAAGAAACUGACAAGUGGGAGGAAAUACUGAAUGACAAAUUAUGGAGUAUAUCAGAUGGGAGUGAAAUACUCCCAGUACUGAGAUUGAGUUAUCUUUAUCUCCCUUCAACUUUGAAGAGGUGCUUUGCUUAUUGCUCAAUACUUCCCAAUGACUACAAAUUUGAGAAAACCCAAUUAAUCCUUCUGUGGAUGGCAGAGGGUUUUCUUGAGCAACCAGAAGGGGCUAAAGCAAUGGAAGAUAUCGGUGACGAAUAUUUCGGGGAGCUAUUGUCUCGGUCAUUAUUUCAAAAUUCGGGCAAAAACAGUUCACAUUAUGUAAUGCAUGACCUUGUUGGUGAUUUGGCACGAUGGGCUGCUGGAGACACAUUUUGCAGAUUAGAGGAUAAACCGCAUGGUAGAUGUUCUCCAAAGACUCGUCAUCUGGCUUACACUUCUAGUAAGUUCGAUGGGGUAAAAAGAUUUGAGACAUUUUCUGGAGCAAAACGCUUGCGGACUUUCCUACCACUUCCUGUUUCCGGUGGUUAUGAGAAUUAUCUAACUCGUUAUGCUACUUCUGAUUUAUUGCCACAAUUGAAGUACUUGCGGGUGCUCUCUUUCAAUGGUUAUAAACUGACCGAGCUGCCAAAAUCCGUAGGUAAGUUGAGACAUCUACAGUACCUUGAUCUUUCUCACACAUUAAUAACGAGUUUGCCUGAGUCAACAUGCAUGCUUUACAACUUACAUACGUUAAUAUUAGAGAAUUGUUCAAAAUUGAAGACACUACCUUCAAACAUGAGCAAUUUAUCUAAUUUACGUCAUCUCAACAAUUCAAACAUGCCUUCAUUGGAAGAAAUGCCUCCCCAAGUAAGUCGGUUGAUUCAUCUGCGAACUUUGCCUAACUUUGUGGUGGGGAGAUCCGGGAUUGGAGAGAUAGGGUCAUUGCAUCUUUGUGGAACCUUGAGCGUUAGAAGAUUGGAAAAUGUGAUUGAUGUUGGGGAUGCGAAGAGGGCCCAAAUAAUGAACAAGGAAGGGCUAAAAACCUUGCAAUUGGAAUGGAGUGGCACAAGUGAGAAGGAGUCGGAGGUGCUCUGCAGUUUAGAACCUCAUAAAAAGCUUCUACACCUCACUAUCAAGGGCUACAAUGGUUCCGAACUUUCCAAAUGGAUUGGACGGCCUUCAUUCUCUGAUAUGAAGUUUGUGAAGUUAGAGGACUGUAAAAACUGUCGAUUCUUACCCCCUUUUGGCCAGUUACCUUGUCUGAAAAGCCUUUGGAUAAAAGGACUGGCCAGUGUUGAAAGUGUGGGUGCUGAGUUUUAUGGAGAGUGUAGCUUGCCUUUUCAAGUCUUGGAAUUCCUAGGGUUCGAGGAUAUGCAAAAUUGGAAGGAUUGGCUUCCUUGCAAAAUAAAUGAAGAAGUUCGAGUUUUUCCAUGCAUAGAAUUGCUUGACAUCCGUAGUUGCCCCAAAUGGAAGGGUUGGUUGCCCAAGAUGGAUUCAUUAUCACGUAUGUUUAUUAAUGAAUGUGAAGUGUCAGUGGUUUCAAUAGCCAAUUAUAAACAUCUUCAUGAUUUGACCAUCAACGGUUGUAAAAGGGUGGUGCACAGAAGUGGAGUUAAGUUUGAGUCACUGGAGGAUUUGGGGUUUUCAAGUAUUCCGGAGUUCAGACUCGAAAUAGAUGGGUUCAUCAGAGGAUUACCAAAGCUUCAAAGAUUGUGGAUUACUGAUUGUGAAGAGUUGACAUGUCUGUGGGAGAAUGAGGAUAGAUGGCUGCAGCCUCGGAUUUCUAAUAAUAUUGGAGGCAACAUCUCUGACUCCCCCUCUCACUUUAUUCAAGAGCUAAGAGCACUCAAGGAACUUCACUUAACUGGAUGCUCAAAUCUAAUUUCUUUUCCAGAAGCUGGUUGGCCACCUUGUCUUGAAUAUGUAAAGAUGGAGUCGUGUAAUUCUUUGAUGCAUUUUGUGAGGCAUCAGGUACCACCGAGCAUAAAAAGAUUAGAGAUAGCAAAAUGUCAAAAUUUGAAACUAUUAGUCAAGGAUGCUGAGGAGGUAGAGAGUUGUCUGGAGUACUUGGAGAUAAAAGAGUGUGCAUCUUUAACAUCUUUAUCAAGCAAAGGAGGCCGAUUACCCAGGACGCUCAAAUAUCUUUGGAUAAGUGACUGUGAAAAAUUGGAGUCAAUAAUCAGAACAUUCCACGAUGACACCUGUCUUGAACAUAUUCACAUAGGCAGGUGUGCAAAUCUCAAAUCCUUACCAGAGGGGCUAUGCCAUCUCUCCAUUCUUCGCAAGUUAAAGAUACGCGAAUGUGGAAGUCUCGUUUCCUUCCCGAGAGGAGGGUUGCCAUCCAACCUGAUAGACUUUCGUAUCGUCAAUUGUCGUCAAGCCCUCCCCAGAGGCAUAGGCAACCUCAGCUCUCUUCAGUUUUUGCUGUUGGGAUACUGUGGAGGUUUGGCAUCCAUUAUAGAAGAGGGUUUCCCACCCAACCUAAUUAAUCUUCAUAUUUGGACUCCCGAAAGCUGCAAGCCUCUCUCAGAGUGGGGGCUUCACCACUUGGACAGACUCACCUCUCUUAAACAAUUGGUCAUCGGUGGUGUAGAUCCAAAUUUGGUGUCCUUUCCGCCAAAGGAGGUGCUGCUCCCUAAAUCUCUCAUUCAACUCACCAUUGGAGUCUUCCCAAAUCUGAAGCGCCUGUCAUCAUCUUUUCAAUCACUCACCUCUCUUGAAUCGCUUGACAUUAUUGAGUGCCCAAAGCUAGCAUCUAUUAUCCCAGAACAUGAGGAUCAUCUGCCUCUUUCACUUACACAGCUUCGCAUCUAUGAGGGCUGUCCGCUGCUCACAAAGAAAUACCAACCAGGUAAAGGACGACACUGGCCCAAACAAAUAGCCCACAUCCCUUACGUUUAUGUUGGAGACUACAAGGACGAAGCCAAAGCCGACCGCUGGGCAUAGAAAUCAAACUAUAGAGCCGCAAGAAGUACAAGAUUGAGAAAGUAAGUUCUGAGGCACUUCAGAAGUGUCAGUCCCAGUUCAUGGUGGCACAAGAUGGGAGGCUUAGAGCCACUUCUGAGAUCCUAAACAGUAUGAAGAUCAUUAAGUUACAAUCCUGGGAAGAGAAAUUCAAAAACUCGGUCAAUUCCCUUCGAGAAAGAGAAUUCAAAUGGUUGUCUGAGGGACAAUCUAUAGGAAGGCUUAUGGAACUUUACUCUACUGGAUGUCACCAACCAUUAUCUCUUCUGUUGUUUUUCUAGGGUGUAUCCUUUUCAAAAGUGCCCCUCUGAAUGCAAGUACUAUAUUCACAGUUUUAGCUUCACUAAGGAGCAUGGGAGAACCUGUGAGAAUGAUACCAGAGGCUCUUUCAGUAAUGAUCCAAGUCAAGGUCUCAUUUGAUCGGCUAAAUGCUUUUUUGCUUGAUGAUGAGUUGAAAGAUGAUGAGAUAAGGAAGCUCCCAUCACCAAAUUCAGAUGAGAGCUUGAGAAUACAAAAAGGCAUUUUCAGUUGGUAUCCUGAAUCAGCAAUUCAAACUCUGAAAGAAGUGAACCUAGAAGCAAAAUGUGAGCAGAAAAUUGCAGUUUGUGGACCAGUUAGAGCUGGAAUAUCAUCACUUUUAUUUGCUAUACUUGGAGAGAUGCCCCAAAUUUCAGGAGCUGUCGAUGUAUUUGGAACCAUAGCCUAUGUUUCUCAAACUUCUUGGAUACAAAGUGGGAUAGUUCAUGAUAACAUACUCUAUGGGAAGCCAAUGGACAAGAACAAAUAUGAGAAGAUCAUAAAAGCUUGUGCUUUGGUAAGGACAUAAAUAGUUUUGAUCAUGGUGAUCUUACUGAAAUAGGCCAGAGGGGAAUUAACAUGAGUGGAGGGCAAAAGCAAAGGAUUCAGCUAGCUCGAGCUGUCUAUAGUGAUGCUGAUAUCUACCUCCUAGAUGACCCAUUUAGUGCAGUAGAUGCACACACUGCAGCAAUUCUGUUUCAUGAUUGUGUCAUGGAUGCUCUAGCAAAGAAGACUAUGAUUCUUGUGACUCAUCAAGUAGAAUUUCUGUCAGAAGUUGACAAAAUUCUGGUAAUGGAGAGCGGACAAGUUACUCAAUCCGGAAUCAUCGAUUUGUAUGGAACAAAAUCCUUUUGGAUGAACUUAUCAAGUUCAAGGUAAGAUUUUCCUACUGUAAGGUACGAUUAGUUCAAGGUCCAAAUUAUGUCGUUUCAGUUCCUUUAGUGUACGAGACACUUUACAGGGGGAUCCAGAAACAGAUUUCUACAAGUUCUAAAGCUCGUAAGCUUAUUGCACUUUCAUUCCUAAGGAUCAGUUUGGCAUACAUGGAGUUUAAGAGAAUUUAUGAGUUUUCCGCACCACAGAGUUAAAGAUCACAAGUUUUACUGAAGCCCAGAUCUCCAAAUGAAGAACCCUGGUUCUACAUUUGAUAUUAUUUAUGAACACUGCAGAGUCAUGUUCCGUGGCAUUGGUGUUCUGAAGUUUGCUGCUUUGUUAGUUACUAUUCUAUGCAUGGACAUUUCAAGAAGCUGGAUGAAGAGAUUAAAAGGGGAGCUGCAUCUUUGGAAGUAGAAGCCCAACUAUCUCAGGUUUGCAAUUGUCGAUCACUUCAAAGUGGGACAGUUCGUGAUAACAUACUCUACUUGAUUGAUGUAAUGACUACUGCUACUUGUACAUUUUUAAUUGUCAUUUUGUAAAUUAAAUUACUUAUAACGAUAAUCUGAUUGAAAUGUUUCUCUUACA
This is an RNA transcript of Rosa chinensis, 6186 nucleotides long. It is a transcript of the gene named putative disease resistance RPP13-like protein 1, with no coding region annotated. Lineage: Eukaryota; Viridiplantae; Streptophyta; Magnoliopsida; Rosales; Rosaceae. The transcript is spliced from 9 exons. The record is from RefSeq and is a predicted model, not a curated record.